Molecule: ribosomal RNA, 431 nt
Filed under: uncultured bacterium
Lineage: Bacteria
Description: partial 16S ribosomal RNA
Rfam family: Bacterial small subunit ribosomal RNA
Source: RNAcentral
ACGAACGCUGGCGGCAUGCCUAACACAUGCAAGUCGAACGCGACCUUCGGGUCUAGUGGCGCACGGGUGCGUAACGCGUGGGAACCUGCCCUUGGUUCGGAAUAACUCCCCGAAAGGGGUGCUAAUACCGGAUAAUGUCUUCGGACCAAAGAUUUAUCGCCUUUGGAUGGGCCCGCGUUGGAUUAGCUAGUUGGUAGGGUAAAAGCCUACCAAGGCGACGAUCCAUAGCUGGUCUGAGAGGAUGAUCAGCCACACUGGGACUGAGACACGGCCCAGACUCCUACGGGAGGCAGCAGUGGGGAAUAUUGGACAAUGGGCGAAAGCCUGAUCCAGCAAUGCCGCGUGAGUGAUGAAGGCCUUAGGGUUGUAAAGCUCUUUUACCCGGGAUGAUAAUGACAGUACCGGGAGAAUAAGCUCCGGCUAACUCCGUG